RNAcentral lists this ribosomal RNA (601 nucleotides) under Quasipaa spinosa (Chinese spiny frog). RNAcentral's name for it is "partial large subunit ribosomal RNA". It matches the Rfam family "Bacterial large subunit ribosomal RNA", at positions 1797 to 2626 of the family's 2925-position model. Lineage: Eukaryota; Metazoa; Chordata; Amphibia; Anura; Dicroglossidae. The record is from RNAcentral.
CGCCUGUUUACCAAAAACAUCGCCUCUUGAUAAACUAUAAGAGGUCUAGCCUGCCCAGUGACAUAGUUAAACGGCCGCGGUACCCUGACCGUGCGAAGGUAGCAUAAUCACUUGUUCUUUAAAUAAGGACUAGUAUCAACGGCAUCACGAGGGUUAUACUGUCUCCUCUCUCCAAUCAGUGAAACUAAUUUCCCCGUGAAGAAGCGGGGAUAAGAAUAUAAGACGAGAAGACCCCAUGGAGCUUUAAACCCAACAGCAACCCCCAUACAUAAAUCCCCUAGUAACUAAAGAGGUCCUGCCUGUUGGUUUUAGGUUGGGGUGACCGCGGAGUAAAACUAAACCUCCACGACGAACGGGAUUAACCCCUAAUCCAAGAGCCACCGCUCUAAGAAUCAAUAAAUUGACGUAAAAUGAUCCGAUAAUCGAUCAACGAACUAAGUUACCCUGGGGAUAACAGCGCAAUCCAUUUCAAGAGCCCCUAUCGACAAAUGGGUUUACGACCUCGAUGUUGGAUCAGGGUAUCCCAGUGGUGCAGCCGCUACUAAAGGUUUGUUUGUUCAACAAUUAAAACCCUACGUGAUCUGAGUCCAGGACCGGGAGG